ACAACGGCCCUCUUUAGGGCCACAUGUGUGUGUUAAUACAUCCUAU
Heterorhabditis bacteriophora is the source of this 46-nucleotide non-coding RNA. The record is from Rfam. Lineage: Eukaryota; Metazoa; Nematoda; Chromadorea; Rhabditida; Heterorhabditidae.